This is a non-coding RNA of Myotis lucifugus (little brown bat), 76 nucleotides long. The record is from Rfam. NCBI's taxonomy places the organism in Eukaryota, Metazoa, Chordata, Mammalia, Chiroptera, Vespertilionidae.
GAGACACCCCUAUGGAGCUGGACUUGCUUUAGUGGGGCUUUGGUGCUGACUGAGUCUGCCCCUUGAGUGUGUCACU